This 442-nucleotide ribosomal RNA is filed under the name uncultured bacterium. Its description in RNAcentral is "partial 16S ribosomal RNA". It matches the Rfam family "Bacterial small subunit ribosomal RNA", at positions 338 to 795 of the family's 1533-position model. The record is from RNAcentral.
CCUACGGGAGGCAGCAGUGAGGAAUAUUGGUCAAUGGGCGGAAGCCUGAACAAGCCAAGUCGCGUAGGGGAAUAAGGCUUUCGGGUUGUAAACUUCUUUUGUCGGGGAAGAGUGGAAGACGGUACCUAACGAUUAAGCAACGGCUAACUACGUGCCAGAAGCCGCGGUAAUACGUAGGUGGCAAGCGUUGUCCGGAUUUACUGGGUGUAAAGGGCGUGUAGCCGGGUUGACAAGUCAGAUGUGAAAUCCUGCGGCUUAACCGCAGAACUGCAUUUGAAACUGUUGAUCUUGAGUACUGGAGAGGCAGACGGAAUUCCUAGUGUAGCGGUGAAAUGCGUAGAUAUUAGGAGGAACACCAGUGGCGAAGGCGGUCUGCUGGACAGCAACUGACGGUGAGGCGCGAAAGCGUGGGGAGCAAACAGGAUUAGAUACCCCAGUAGUC